AGAGUUUGAUCCUGGCUCAGAACUAACGCUGGCGGCGUGCCUAACACAUGCAAGUCGAGCGGUCACCAUCUUGUAGCAAUACAGGAGACGUGAUAGCGGCAGACGGGUGAGUAACACGUAGGCAAUCUAUCUUUCCGACCGGGAUAACUAGCCGAAAGGUUAGCUAAUACCUGAUGCGAUCGUCGAGCGGCAUCGUUUGA
Molecule: ribosomal RNA, 200 nt
Filed under: uncultured bacterium
Lineage: Bacteria
Description: partial 16S ribosomal RNA
Rfam family: Bacterial small subunit ribosomal RNA
Source: RNAcentral